RNAcentral lists this non-coding RNA (179 nucleotides) under Fretibacterium sp. RNAcentral describes it as "6S RNA". It matches the Rfam family "6S / SsrS RNA". From Rfam's summary of the family: E. coli 6S RNA was the first non coding RNA to be sequenced, but its function was unknown until recently. It consists of 184 nucleotides that fold into an extended hairpin structure with a large single-stranded internal bulge. The record is from RNAcentral. Lineage: Bacteria; Thermotogati; Synergistota; Synergistia; Synergistales; Aminobacteriaceae.
AGACCCCUGCGGUAUACGUGAUCGCGAUAAUGUCUUGAGCCAACGCUCGUGUCCUAUGAGGAAAAACGUCCUUGUCGGGGAUGACGGCUCUUGAGGCUGACUGAACUGAGACGAGGCGAUUCCUCACCUUAAUGGGGAACGGGUCAAGACUUUCAAGACACGGUAUCUGCGGGGGCUUU